UGAGACCUCCAAAAAUUGGAGGCCUAAAACACUUGCUUCGGUCGCUUCACUUUGAAGCCGGACCUGACAACAACCGUGCAGACCGUCCUAACCCACUAGUUGGCUAGUUUACAUAUCUUCUCAUUUCAAUUACCAUCUAUAUCUAUAUACUAUCUAUUUAUUGCUAUUUAUAUAUAAUAACAAAGGCAAAGACACCAUGUGUCAGCACCACAAACAAAGAAUAUUAAAAAUUAAGAAUCUAUAUAUAUACAUAAUAGGAGAGGCAAAAACAGCCACGUGUAAGCACCACAAAAAUCAGUAUUAAAUAAAAAUAAAUAAUUAAAAUAAAUAAAUAAUCUGUUUAAAAAUAAGAGUUCAGUUUUUUAAAAUAAAAAUUGUGAAUUUAAAAUCAACCAAUAACCGUUAUUUUACUAUGAGAAAACCUCUCUUCCGUUCUUUCACAAAAAAAAAAACGUCGCUUUAGUUCAUAAGCAAGACACUCCUUUGAUUUUCAAAAAAAAUGAAUUUUCUUUCCACAAUUUCUUUUUCGAUCACUGAAAAUUCAUUAGGUUUUUCCUAACAAAUUAAUUUUGUGGUCCAAUUUCUACUUUUUUAGCAAAGCAAAAUUUGAUUUCAUAUCAGAAGAGGAAGAUGGGUUUUAUGUCAAUCUGAUGGGAUUUUUAUGGACUAAAGUAGUGGCUAUAGAUACGAGUUGUGCACCAUGAAAAUUUGAGAAAUUGCUUUCCAGAAAACGUAUCUGCCAGGUUCAAUUUUGGUGAAGGGAAAUGUUGAAAGAAUUUCUCCAUCAUUCCUAUCUUGCCACAAACUUAUGAAACAUAAAUAGAUGUCUGAGUGGAUAAAAUUGAUGUUCAAUAUGAAUUUUUAAGAAAAUAUAUUUAAUUUUUUGUGGUUCAGCUUCUUUCAUGUUAUAAUAGUGUUUUGUUAGUAUAACUUUAUAAUGUUUUAGCAAAUAUUUAAGAUGAUCAGAACUUGAAGACAAGAUUCUUUCAAUUA
Molecule: long non-coding RNA, 993 nt
Organism: Capsicum annuum
Lineage: Eukaryota; Viridiplantae; Streptophyta; Magnoliopsida; Solanales; Solanaceae
Exons: 2
Source: RefSeq, a predicted model, not a curated record